This 3119-nucleotide unclassified non-coding RNA is filed under the name Leishmania donovani. Its description in RNAcentral is "gene:LdHU3.34.4970(CDS-product:phosphatidylinosit ol_4-phosphate_5-kinase_alpha_putative)". Lineage: Eukaryota; Euglenozoa; Kinetoplastea; Trypanosomatida; Trypanosomatidae. The record is from RNAcentral.
GUGGUCUACUCCAUCGCAGCACGGCGGACUUGUCCAGUCGCUUCGCCACACAAGAGUUUCGAUGUAAGUUUGUGUGUUUUUGUGUGUGCGUCUUCGGAGUCGGCUUCCGUGUGGAGGCAACGUCUUGAUUGCAACGAAACCAAGGAAAGCGCACAGACAGGCCGCUUUGUUUCGCUGUGGGUGGGGUGGCCUUGGAAAAGGGGAAGGUUAAUCUGCUCAGAUCAUAUUCAAGCAAGCGCACACAUAGAAGGCCGACACACACCUCACACUCAAGCACUCACGCACUCUCACCUCUUGGCCUCAUUGCCAUUCGCUUUCUCUCUUCCUCCUCCUCACGGAGGCUCGCGUCGCUCUCGUUGCCGCGAAUAUUGUUCUGGUGCUCUUAUUCCCCAUAGCUUCGCCAGAAGGCCCUCCUCCCUGGUGCUCGGUCGGUGUGUCUUUGCGGGGCAGCUUCUUUUGGGAUCCUCUUUUGUUUUCGGUGGUGUGAUCGUUCACGUCCUCGCCGCCUUUCCUCCUUUCUCCCUCAUUUGUGACACCCACACCCACUCGCACGCGCACGCACUUUCUCUACAUCACCUUUUUCGUUGUUGUUUUUUGGUACAGUUUUUCUUCUCGUCUCGCUCGUACGUGCCACGGCCUUCAUCGGACCUGUACACCGUACGUGUGUGUGUGUAUGUGUGCUUGUGGUCACGUUCGUGUAGUUCUCGGUUUCCUCCGCAUCGUCACCUCCUCUUUUCUCAUGUGCUCGGCGAGGGGCGUCGUUCAUCUCUGCGCCGUUUUUCUUCUCGGUUUUCCCUUGCACGUAUUUUUGCCGUCUCUCGUUCUCUGGAGUUGUUCUCUUGCGCAAACGCACGCAUAGCACGUAAGAGGGAGUAUGCCCCUUAAUCGAGAGCUGUUGGCGUCCGUGAAGCUGGAGCCCAUGAGUGACUCGGACUGGGUGGAGGAGGGACAUGAUAAAACGAAUGACGGUCGCUCAGCCGGCGCGGACGGCUCCGUGCACCCCGCCUCUGACGCCGACGAGAGUGAGGACCAAAACGCAGCCACCAAGAAUGUGAUUCACUGUCUGAAAAUAGCGCUAGAACGUGGCAUCACGAGUAUCUCGCUGCCCGAGAAGCAGCGGCCGUUAAACCCGCAGAAGGACUUCUCGAUCGAGUCCACCAUGCACUUCAGCGCGUCUCGGCCCGCCAAGGGGAUUACCUGCUGCGGCGCCCAAGCCACAGGUGUGAAGAAGGCGCGCAACCCGCAGAUGAGAGAUGCCCGCUCGUCCAUAAUCGGUGGUGUCUAUCGGCAAGCAAACCGUCCACGGAAUGAUAUGUCGCAGAUUCUCUCCACAGACAAUGCCAUUUUGAACUCCGACGGCGACAUGGACCGGGACUACGGCGGUUUGGCGACUUCUGGUGCAAACUUCGAUACAUCUGUCGCACGCGCGCGCCGUGCCCACCGCUCACUGACAAGGACGCAGACGCUGGCAGACUUCUCGUCGGAUGAUGAGGACGACGAAGACGAGGAGAACAUGCCACCGGUGAGCUUUACCUUUACAGAUUUCUCGCCCAUGUGCUACCGCCACAUCCGCGAGUUCUUCAACGUAGAUCCAAAGGCGUACUGCGAUGUGCUGCGCAACAGCCGCUGGCACAGCAUCCCAACGCCAGGCAAGUCGGCUGCGCAACUUUUUUUCUGCGGUCGCGAUUGGGUGAUCAAGACAAUGACGGAGCAGGAGAGCGACUUUCUGCGCAAGAUCCUGCACCGGUAUUAUUAUCACGUGCGCGACAACCCUUUCACCUUGCUCCCACACUUCGUGGGCCACCAUCGCCUUCGCAUCGGCACGAAAACGCAAAACUUCAUCAUUAUGCAAAACGUCUUUGCCACCACCAACACGAUCCAUGAGAAGUUCGACCUGAAGGGCAGCACCAUCGGCCGCUUUGCCUCGGACGCUGAGAAGCGCCGGACAACGUUUACGCAGAAGGACCUCGAUAUAAACAGCCCGAUGCAUAUUGGCCCGGAGCGGCGGAAUCUGUUGAUCGAGCAAAUCAAGAAGGAUUGCGAGUUUCUGAAGCGAUCCAUGAUCAUGGACUACUCAUUCCUGGUUGGCAUACACGUGUUGCCGUCGGUGGGGGACACCUUGUCCUCCGCGACCUCUGGAGGGUCGCUAGGGAUGCUGACACGCAGUGUAACGGACGGUACACUGCGCACAAACCCGGGUCUGGGGUACACCAUGGGAGGGGAGCGGCCAGAUAAUUCCGGGGCUGAUGGCUCUGAAUUCUCGCGCAACGGGUCCAGGCUGGACGGCCGCUGCUUCACGGCUGAUCAGGGGGGCAUGAUGAGCAACAAGGUGCCUGGGCUGCGACAGGAGAUAUACUACAUCGGCAUCAUUGACAUUUUGCAGGAGUACAACGCGCGUAAAGCGCUCGAGAAUGUUGUGUGGGGGUCCUUGUACGAUCGAAAGCGCAUCUCGUGCGUCCACCCGAACGACUACGCAGGACGAUUCAUCGCGUUCAUGUCAUCCAUCAUUGUCUAGCACAGCCUCGUAGCUGCACCCGGGGGCACGCGGCGAGUCAGCGGCAGAGUGGAAUACGAAUGCGGGCGAUACCGAAAAGCAUGUCGGUGCCGCGCCUGGCACCGUGCGGUUCAUGGCCAUUGUGCACGGUAAUGGAAAUCUGUCACUCUGUCUCUCUGUGUGUUUGUGCCUGUUUCGGUUCACAUCUCCGCCACGGCGUGUGCGAGCGCGGGCCAGAGAACAACAACAAAACGAAAAGGCUGGCCACCUCUGCGGUUUUUUGCCGGCACCGAGGCACGCGCAGACGCGUGCAAACGCAUGAGUGCGUGAAAAGAAGCACCACAACCUGUACUGUACUGUAUUUGUCCUCUCUUUGAGUGCCUCGUGAGCGGGAUGCGCUUGCUUGCUUGCUUCCAGCACCCUCCCCUCCCCACUCGUCUGGAGUGGUUUUGUCGGCUCGGCCCGGACCAACUAGAGAGCGAAGAUGGUAAGGGCAACGACGAAGAUAAAAAGCUUCCGAGCCCCACUCUUGUGCACCUCUUUGCCAACACCUCUUCCCUUUCUCGUGUGCCUUGGCCAUUUUGUGUUUUUGUGGUGGCGUUCAUUCUGCUGUAACACAGAACGG